GCAUGUCUCAGUACGAGCCGUAUUAAGGUGAAACCGCGAAAGGCUCAUUAAAUCAGUUAUGGUUCCUUAGAUCGUACCCACAUUUACUUGGAUAACUGUGGUAAUUCUAGAGCUAAUACAUGCAAACAGAGCUCCGACCGGAGACGGAAGGAGCGCUUUUAUUAGAUCAAAACCAAUCGGUGUCGGGUUCGCCCGUCAUCGUACACCUUGGUGACUCUGAAUAACUUUUUGCUGAUCGCACGGUCUCGCACCGGCGACGCAUCUUUCAAAUGUCUGCCUUAUCAACUGUCGAUGGUAGGUUCUGCGCCUACCAUGGUUGUAACGGGUAACGGGGAAUCAGGGUUCGAUUCCGGAGAGGGAGCCUGAGAAACGGCUACCACAUCCAAGGAAGGCAGCAGGCGCGCAAAUUACCCACUCCCGGCACGGGGAGGUAGUGACGAAAAAUAACGAUACGGGACUCAUCCGAGGCCCCGUAAUCGGAAUGAGUACACUCUAAACCCUUUAACGAGGAUCAAUUGGAGGGCAAGUCUGGUGCCAGCAGCCGCGGUAAUUCCAGCUCCAAUAGCGUAUAUUAAAGUUGUUGCGGUUAAAAAGCUCGUAGUCGAAUUUGUGUCCCGCGCCGCCGGUUCAUCGCUCGCGGUGUUUAACUGGCGUGUCCGCGGGACGUCCUGCCGGUGGACUUAGUCCUUACGGGGGCGGUCCAGCUUCAAAACCCACCGCGGUGCUCUUUACCGAGUGUCGAGGUGGGCCGGCACGUUUACUUUGAACAAAUUAGAGUGCUUAAAGCAGGCUAAAACUUUGCCUGAAUACUGUGUGCAUGGAAUAAUGGAAUAGGACCUCGGUUCUAUUUUGUUGGUUUUCGGAACUCCGAGGUAAUGAUUAAUAGGAACGGAUGGGGGCAUUCGUAUUGCGACGUUAGAGGUGAAAUUCUUGGAUCGUCGCAAGACGGACAGAAGCGAAAGCAUUUGCCCAAAAACGCUUUCAUUGAUCA
Molecule: ribosomal RNA, 991 nt
Filed under: Adoretus sp. JHY-2013
Lineage: Eukaryota; Metazoa; Arthropoda; Insecta; Coleoptera; Scarabaeidae
Description: SSU rRNA
Rfam family: Eukaryotic small subunit ribosomal RNA
Source: RNAcentral